AAGCAUCAAGGAAGUCCAUAACACAGUAUAAUGAAGAAGAGGAGGAGGUUGGGAGAUGGAAGUUAGUGGCUCGUUGCAUGUCGACCACCAGCAGCACAGAAGAAUCGCACAGCCGCGAUGAUUUCACUUGUAUGAGUACUCGAAUACAUUGAUUACAGACUUGAAGUGUUACAACCCACAAACUCCAUAUAUACAUGUAUAGCGACUAGUGAGCGAUUAAUGGUUACCAAUUCCAACAAAAAUCAAACAUUUUCUUAUAUGUGUAAGGCAUCAGAGUGACAUGAUAAUGUAUAUGUGGAUCCCAGGUUGCUGGUUGUGCAGUGGUUGGUUGCAACUUACUAAGUAAAUAUCAUCACUUCACCCGCAGGAUUAUUGUAUUUGUAUAU
This 386-nucleotide long non-coding RNA is filed under the name Manihot esculenta (cassava). RNAcentral's name for it is "long non-coding RNA (MESC_LNC003583)". The record is from RNAcentral. Lineage: Eukaryota; Viridiplantae; Streptophyta; Magnoliopsida; Malpighiales; Euphorbiaceae.